This 2929-nucleotide ribosomal RNA is filed under the name Bacillus thuringiensis. Its description in RNAcentral is "23S ribosomal RNA". It matches the Rfam family "Bacterial large subunit ribosomal RNA". Lineage: Bacteria; Bacillati; Bacillota; Bacilli; Caryophanales; Bacillaceae. The record is from RNAcentral.
UUUGGUUAAGUUAGAAAGGGCGCACGGUGGAUGCCUUGACACUAGGAGUCGAUGAAGGACGGGACUAACGCCGAUAUGCUUCGGGGAGCUGUAAGUAAGCUUUGAUCCGAAGAUUUCCGAAUGGGGAAACCCACCAUACGUAAUGGUAUGGUAUCCUUAUCUGAAUACAUAGGGUAAGGAAGACAGACCCAGGGAACUGAAACAUCUAAGUACCUGGAGGAAGAGAAAGCAAAUGCGAUUUCCUGAGUAGCGGCGAGCGAAACGGAACAUAGCCCAAACCAAGAGGCUUGCCUCUUGGGGUUGUAGGACAUUCUAUACGGAGUUACAAAGGAACGAGGUAGACGAAGCGACCUGGAAAGGUCCGUCGUAGAGGGUAACAACCCCGUAGUCGAAACUUCGUUCUCUCUUGAAUGUAUCCUGAGUACGGCGGAACACGUGAAAUUCCGUCGGAAUCUGGGAGGACCAUCUCCCAAGGCUAAAUACUCCCUAGUGAUCGAUAGUGAACCAGUACCGUGAGGGAAAGGUGAAAAGCACCCCGGAAGGGGAGUGAAAGAGAUCCUGAAACCGUGUGCCUACAAAUAGUCAGAGCCCGUUAACGGGUGAUGGCGUGCCUUUUGUAGAAUGAACCGGCGAGUUACGAUCCCGUGCGAGGUUAAGCUGAAGAGGCGGAGCCGCAGCGAAAGCGAGUCUGAAUAGGGCGUUUAGUACGUGGUCGUAGACCCGAAACCAGGUGAUCUACCCAUGUCCAGGGUGAAGUUCAGGUAACACUGAAUGGAGGCCCGAACCCACGCACGUUGAAAAGUGCGGGGAUGAGGUGUGGGUAGCGGAGAAAUUCCAAUCGAACCUGGAGAUAGCUGGUUCUCCCCGAAAUAGCUUUAGGGCUAGCCUUAAGUGUAAGAGUCUUGGAGGUAGAGCACUGAUUGGACUAGGGGUCCUCAUCGGAUUACCGAAUUCAGUCAAACUCCGAAUGCCAAUGACUUAUCCUUAGGAGUCAGACUGCGAGUGAUAAGAUCCGUAGUCAAAAGGGAAACAGCCCAGACCGCCAGCUAAGGUCCCAAAGUGUGUAUUAAGUGGAAAAGGAUGUGGAGUUGCUUAGACAACUAGGAUGUUGGCUUAGAAGCAGCCACCAUUUAAAGAGUGCGUAAUAGCUCACUAGUCGAGUGACUCUGCGCCGAAAAUGUACCGGGGCUAAAUACACCACCGAAGCUGCGGAUUGAUACCAAUGGUAUCAGUGGUAGGGGAGCGUUCUAAGGACAGUGAAGUCAGACCGGAAGGACUGGUGGAGUGCUUAGAAGUGAGAAUGCCGGUAUGAGUAGCGAAAGACGGGUGAGAAUCCCGUCCACCGAAUGCCUAAGGUUUCCUGAGGAAGGCUCGUCCGCUCAGGGUUAGUCAGGACCUAAGCCGAGGCCGACAGGCGUAGGCGAUGGACAACAGGUUGAUAUUCCUGUACCACCUCUUUAUCGUUUGAGCAAUGGAGGGACGCAGAAGGAUAGAAGAAGCGUGCGAUUGGUUGUGCACGUCCAAGCAGUUAGGCUGAUAAGUAGGCAAAUCCGCUUAUCGUAAAGGCUGAGCUGUGAUGGGGAAGCUCCUUAUGGAGCGAAGUCUUUGAUUCCCCGCUGCCAAGAAAAGCUUCUAGUGAGAUAAAAGGUGCCUGUACCGCAAACCGACACAGGUAGGCGAGGAGAGAAUCCUAAGGUGUGCGAGAGAACUCUGGUUAAGGAACUCGGCAAAAUGACCCCGUAACUUCGGGAGAAGGGGUGCUUUCUUAACGGAAAGCCGCAGUGAAUAGGCCCAAGCGACUGUUUAGCAAAAACACAGCUCUCUGCGAAGCCGUAAGGCGAAGUAUAGGGGGUGACACCUGCCCGGUGCUGGAAGGUUAAGGAGAGGGGUUAGCGUAAGCGAAGCUCUGAACUGAAGCCCCAGUAAACGGCGGCCGUAACUAUAACGGUCCUAAGGUAGCGAAAUUCCUUGUCGGGUAAGUUCCGACCCGCACGAAAGGUGUAACGAUUUGGGCACUGUCUCAACCAGAGACUCGGUGAAAUUAUAGUACCUGUGAAGAUGCAGGUUACCCGCGACAGGACGGAAAGACCCCGUGGAGCUUUACUGUAGCCUGAUAUUGAAUUUUGGUACAGUUUGUACAGGAUAGGCGGGAGCCUUUGAAACCGGAGCGCUAGCUUCGGUGGAGGCGCUGGUGGGAUACCGCCCUGACUGUAUUGAAAUUCUAACCUACGGGUCUUAUCGACCCGGGAGACAGUGUCAGGUGGGCAGUUUGACUGGGGCGGUCGCCUCCUAAAGUGUAACGGAGGCGCCCAAAGGUUCCCUCAGAAUGGUUGGAAAUCAUUCGUAGAGUGCAAAGGCAUAAGGGAGCUUGACUGCGAGACCUACAAGUCGAGCAGGGACGAAAGUCGGGCUUAGUGAUCCGGUGGUUCCGCAUGGAAGGGCCAUCGCUCAACGGAUAAAAGCUACCCCGGGGAUAACAGGCUUAUCUCCCCCAAGAGUCCACAUCGACGGGGAGGUUUGGCACCUCGAUGUCGGCUCAUCGCAUCCUGGGGCUGUAGUCGGUCCCAAGGGUUGGGCUGUUCGCCCAUUAAAGCGGUACGCGAGCUGGGUUCAGAACGUCGUGAGACAGUUCGGUCCCUAUCCGUCGUGGGCGUAGGAAAUUUGAGAGGAGCUGUCCUUAGUACGAGAGGACCGGGAUGGACGCACCGCUGGUGUACCAGUUGUUCUGCCAAGGGCAUAGCUGGGUAGCUAUGUGCGGAAGGGAUAAGUGCUGAAAGCAUCUAAGCAUGAAGCCCCCCUCAAGAUGAGAUUUCCCAUAGCGUAAGCUAGUAAGAUCCCUGAAAGAUGAUCAGGUUGAUAGGUUCGAGGUGGAAGCAUGGUGACAUGUGGAGCUGACGAAUACUAAUAGAUCGAGGACUUAACCAUAUAA